Molecule: ribosomal RNA, 473 nt
Filed under: uncultured bacterium
Lineage: Bacteria
Description: bacterial SSU rRNA
Rfam family: Bacterial small subunit ribosomal RNA
Source: RNAcentral
GAUGAACGCUUAGCGACAGGCCUAACACAUGCAAGUCGAGGGGCAUCGGGGUUGAAGCUUUGCUUUAACUGCCGGCGACCGGCGCAAGGGUGCGUAACGCGUGAGCAACAUGCCCGUCACAGGAGGAUAAACCAUGGAAACGUGGCCUAAUACUCCAUAGUAUGUUUUUGAGGCAUCUCUGAGACAUUAAAGCUUCGGUGGUGACGGAUUGGCUCGCGUGACAUUAGCUAGACGGAGAGGUAACGGCUCACCAUGGCGACGAUGUCUAGGGGAACUGAGAGGUUAAUCCCCCACACUGGUACUGAGACACGGACCAGACUCCUACGGGAGGCAGCAGUGGGGAAUAUUGGGCAAUGGGGGAAACCCUGACCCAGCGACGCCGCGUGAGGGAAGACGGUCUUCGGAUUGUAAACCUCUGUCGUAAGGGACGAAUAAUGACGGUACCUUACAAGAAAGCCACGGCUAACUACGUG